UCUUGGAAGACCAGGCAGGGUCCUCACUGCCACGUUUCACGGAGACCGUUGGUCACAAGGGGAUCACCCUAACUCAAGCAAGGGUUUAAGGUAACAGAGAGAACACAACUCUCGAGCAAAAGGGGGUUUAGAAGAUUAGAUUGGAGCGUCAGAGGUGAUGAGGGGGUGUUGUCAUCCUAAGAAGGAACGCCAUCCCGCGGGGCGCCACGAGGUAGAGUUCAAGCAUCCACGUCGGUUGAACUCUAAACAGAGGGGUGAGCGAUGUCUGGCCCGACGAGUAGGAACGCCGUCAUGAAAGACUAGAUUUUAGAAGACGGAUGGGUUUAGGUGAUUUCCGGAAAACGUGUUCGAUCCACACGCUAGUAUUUUGUUGUUUAGGGAUCACUUUAUGCUUAGAGUAUCUCUCCUUCCUCCUCCUCCACCACCAGGCCGUCACACCGGCUCGGAGACCCGACCGUUACCGCCGCCUUCUGUAACCUUUAGUUGACUUCUUUGCAGUGGACAGACUCCGUCUCUUCUUCUGUCAGUUCGACUUUAGACCGAGAUAUCCAUUUCUACCACGUCCAUUAGAGGCCUGUCAUCGCUUUUAAAAUAGUCUCUUUGUUCGGUCCGGCCUCCAAGAUCUUGUUUGUAACCCCCUUUAAACCUCAGGCCAAGUACCACAUCUAACGUUUCUAUACCCCGUCUUAUCUAAAUAAAAGUGGAAAUACUUGUUCUUCCCCUUUGGCUCUCGUUAUCUACUUCCUGGUACCAACAAAUUAUUGUCUCUAGAGUAACACUACCUCCUAAAACGACGAGCCUUCCGGUAUCUACUCAUACUUAAGUUUAUAUAGGGUUAGACCCACUCCCAUAUACCUCAAGGUGACCCACGCGAUUUAUUUCUUCGCCCCCUCUACCAACCUUCCUACUAUCCUUUCCACAAUCUGUACCUACACCUGCUUCUCCCUAGACGGAACUGACUUAUAAAUGCUUAAUUCCACUCUUAUCUAUAGUGUUUUGGAAACUACUCUAUACAUUGGUAGCUGCUACUCAGUCUAAGUCUACUCCUUUGUUACUUACGCUGUCUACCCCUCCUCUUACUUUGUCUUCACCCAUCUUAGACACUAGAAUUCAUACUCAAGGAAGGACACAAAACGAAAUUAACACCAUAGUAUCCGGUGUUGCUCUCCUUGACUGGUAGUCUUCAUUUUUCUUCGGGGGUUUAGAUACCUUUUACCAACUUUCAUGGGAAGGGUUUCUCUUCCCUACCACUUCUUCUUGUUCGGUUUAAAAAUUCACCGUCCAUACCUAGAACCUCCUCAUUAUCAACUCCAUCACCUCCCUCGUCAGUCCCAUCGCUGCGUUUUAGGACCUCAUUCUUGGACUUCCUCUCACUUUUAAAUCUCUUCCCCUUCUUUUUACUACUCCCCCUUCAGUGUUUAGGGGAUUAUCUUUUGGUUCUCCUAUUCAUAGACGUCCUCCUUUUUUCGAUCAAAAGAGCUGAGGAUCAUCUAUGCCGUAUGUCUUGGUUGAUGUUCUACAUCUAUGUCUAUUUUGAUCUUUAGUUUUACAACGUAACCCACUCCGGUGAAGAGGUCGACUCUACUAUUACCUGUGUCCUUCAUCCUUGUUCCUUCUUCCCGUACUCCCCUUCCUCUGGGUUCUCGGAUGGUUAUCACUUCCUUUUCCUGUCUGUCAUUUUCGCUGACUAAACCCUUCCGUCCCUCUUGUCCUUUUUCGUUGAUGAAUGUACGAUUCAUCUUCAGUCUUCGGAAACACACUCCGAUCAUUUCCCCUAAGUUAAAAUUACAUACACCCUUGUCUUGGAGGAUUGGAGGUCCGAUCAUUUCCAUUCUCUUUGUGCAAGUUUUCCUACCGCGCGGGGUUAUGGUCGCUUGGAGUCGGGAGUGAGUCGGUCUUAUUUUUUUUCUUCUCCACGUCUAGACUACCUCUAGCUACUUUUGUUCCUCCACAACUUUUUCAGUUCUUACCUACAUCUCCCUCUCUUGCUUUUUGUUUGUUAUUCUGGGUAGAAACUUACACUUUGACCCGACGUGCCUGUCGGACCGCUCUGGUUUACUCCUAGUAUCGAACCUUGACGGCCCGUAACCCAUUACCCGGUCGUCAAGCUCCCGAAGACCUGGAGGUCUUCGCUCUCCUGGGGCUGUAGGAUAAGAACAGCCUCUGAUUCUCGCUGCUCUUCUCCUACUUUGUGUAGUCCACCAACAACCCUUACUUUGUGUACCAUCAGUUUCUUACGUCUCCCUUUUCGCCACCAAAUCGUGAAAAAACCUUUCUUCCAUAGGGCCACCUUGAGGUAUUAAUGAGUUUUAUAGUGUACCUACACCUUUAUCACCUUCUACUACCAAAAUUCACCUCCAACUGACCUUAAAUACCUCUUGAUCGUUCCCUAUUUUUCCUCUUAUGCACCUCCGAGUACUCUUUGAACUUGCGUAUUAACCUGUCUGGUACCAAUACGGAACCCCUAAAGUUGCUUUAUAAUAAAUUGGUACUUUUCUCUCCUCCUUUUGGUUACGGUGUUCAUACGAACCUAUUUAAAUCCCUUUGAGACCUUUAAACGCUGGACGUUCUGAACCCGAAGUAACCACUAUUCAUAUGUACCGCCUUAGUGUUAGUGAACCACGUCGUGAUGCAUUUUCUUUCCGAACUGGCUCGGCGCCGAAGGGGUUUAACCCGACGGUUUAAGGGAGUACAGUUUCACUAUUUGUCACUGGGUUCUGUGAGUCUGGUGGCGGGCCAGUAUCAGAUCUAACUCCCUUUCCUCCUGGCUCAUUCGAAACGAUCGGAUUUAUGGAAGUUUAAACUUCGCUUCACCAAUUCCCUCGUCCUAACACUUUUCUAACAUGUUUUACGUACCGUUCUUCGUGUUCUUCUUCCAUACUUACUACAUAAGGUCCCCAACUUCUUUCACCGUUGUUUAAAUUUUAUAACCUUGCGGUUGUUAGAACCCCUAAACUUAUUCUCCUAGUUUCUCCGGUUCUUCCUUAACCUUCUUCAGGCUUUCUUUCUGUAGAGUGGUCUAGUUCACCGAGCACUUCGUAAAGAUUCUCUUUUUGAUCUGGCUGAACUCAGUGUUGUUCUACAUAUAACCUUCGUCUCCCGUGUGUGUUUAACCGAUUUUCUUCCUCUGUUUUUAUGUGUAAUAAAAGUACACAAACGAAGACUUUCUUCUUUUUUCUUGUGUUAGUCCUUCAACUUCUUCCUGUUACCUCUAACCCAUCUUCCCUUAGUUGUCGAUUUCUCGAAUCACCUUCUGAUAAAAUGUCUGAAUAAAUGUAGGUGAUUAUCGUUGUUGUUACUAUUAUAGUGAUCUGUACAUGUACGAUCUCACCUGGCUGUAUACUUGCUCGACGACUCACGACUCAAGUGGUUCCUUCUUCAUUUCCGACGGUAUCUCAGUUAACCGCUAGAUUUCCGAGGUCCCGGACUACCCUACAGACGUUAUAAAAAGUUCUCUAAAACCGUGUAACACCCCCUUUUCCAAUGAGUACUCUAAGAUGUUAAAGAGUUUCCUCCACUGUACGGAUAACCUACCUUACUAUGUUACCACCAAGAUUAGGGGUUUUGUUUUGUUUUCCUCGCCUUGACGAUUAAUACGACGGAAUUUCGACCUGUACUCGUUGCGCAUGCUAACUCAGCUUACCUCAAAAAAAUUCUCUAUACUACCCCUUUUACCCUAAAUCGUGUACCACCUAGGCCAAUAAGUACUUUACACAAUGAUGCCACGUGAUAGUCUAUUUCCAGUUGGUACUACACUGUUUACAGUAAUGGGGAUCGUCUCCGGACUCUGUUCUUUCCUCGUUUUUCUAAGUUCCUUAUUUUUAGAGUUCUUCCCGAGGUUCACACUUGGUAGACGAGAAACGUCUACUAAGGAAUGAUGAUUACUUCCAGCUCCUAUCUUCGUACUUUCUUCACCUAGUUUAGAACUUCGUCAUACGUCUAAAGAGACCUGUUCAUUAAUUGUUUCUGUUUAGACGAUAGUACAAGUCGUUUUUAUGAGGAGCCCUCUUCUCUGUACGGUGUUACGUCUAAAACUUGGACUUAACACUUCGGUUUUGUCUCUUUAUGGACCCUAACGGGUAGAUAUAGCCUUUAAGUUUCAGUUUUUGUAAACGUAUGGAUUUCCUAUCCUAAACCUCUUUCUAGGUUCCAACCUUUCUUGCGUACGAUAGUUACCUACCGUUCCUUUAAGAUUAGUUUCGCCAUCGUGUUAGUCAUGGUUAGAUACGUUACCGCACGAAACUAGAGUGGUUUAGAGAUACACUAGUUUACUCGUUUUAUUAUACGUUCAUGAUCACCUCAGUCUACCUGUUUCUUUUAUCUUAGGUGACCUAGUCAACCCUGUUUGAGAGUGAAGCCUUCUCCCUACCACCUAACCCGAAGGCUCUGAAUAUGCGAAAGUUGGACCGUUACAACCGAGCGGUUCGAACCUCCUAGAACGUAUUAGGUAGGAGAGAUACACGGUCUCACGAGAGUCGCUUUAUGAAGGGUCUACCUUUAUAAAAUUUACGGUUUCCUCAGUCACCGUACAGGAUGCAGACCGCAUCGUAAGAUUUCCCGCAGUUUGAAGAUUUUGUACCAUAUUAUACCGCUCACCCCUUACCUUUAUUGUAUCUGUAGACCUUACUAGGAACCUAGGGUUCUCCGUGGUGCUCUGCGUGGUACUGGGUGUUUCCAGCUGUAGAACACUUGUUUCAAAGCCUCGACUACCUGGGUUAGUUACCUCCCACCCUACACCGUGACCAUGUUGUUUGGAAGAAAGGUCUUCUACAUCUUCGGUAGAAUGUCUAAGGUCAUUUACUUCUCCUCCUUCUGAUACACCGGACCGUGAAACUGUUCUUUACAAGUAAGAGCCAGUUCAGACGUAUAUUCCACCGGUAUCUAUAACUGUAAGUGUUUGGUCGAGUUUCAUCGUGGAGUUGUAGUUUAUCCCCUCUGUCUUCUCUCUUGAAACUGAUCUUGUUUUAAACCUUUGAGGGUGACGGGUUGUUUCACUUUGUAAAAUAAACCUCUAAACGUUUAGUAUCAGACGGAAAGACUGGUUUUGAUUCCUCUUCUCCUCACUUACAGCUAGAAUUUACGGGUCACACGUUGGCUCAACUACUCCUACCUCCUGUGAUAAAGAAGUUUACGUUUGGUCAGUUCCUCAAUACCUCUUCGAAACUCACCCUUUUGUAUGCUGUUCUCGAACAUUGGAUGGUUUCGGGUUCCGUACAGGAUGUCCUUUAAAAGAUCUACCUCCUGUUCCAUACGAGAUUUUAGACGUGGUACAAUACCGAAACCACCAAACUUUCUUUGUUUCGUGUGAGUCCCCUUUCCUAUUCUCCAACAUUACUUUAGGUUCGAAGGUAACUUUAGGUGACGUCUCUUAAACUCCUCCUUGCCUUAUUUCUCCUUUUUUAAUGGAUUUGAAGGGACGAGCCUGUUUACCUUCGGAGGAGGUGGAUUACAAGACUUCUAUUUAUGACUACCACGCAUACAACUUUUAAGAGUGUUUCCACCUACCCCUAUACACGAAUCUUUACUGUUUCCUCUCCACAACCGUCGUCCACGUCCUAGAUACGUCGUAUAAAGACUUCGAUAAGUACGUUUUUCAGAUCGUGAGGAGGUCCGUUAGUUGUACCGUUUACUCGACCCUACAUUGGCUAAUUAAAAACUUUGGCUACGAAAACAUGACUUUGUUCGUUAUUACUCACUUCGAAUGCUGUUGAGUUCCGUACCUCGUGACAAAUUUCUUUAGUUUUGUAAUGACGUAUGUAUGAAACUACUACGUUCACAAUUUACCACAUUAGCAAGGACGUUGAGACAACGAGUAUUACAUCGCAGGAAACCGCGACCAAACCUUAAUCCAUCGGUUGUUGUCGAUCCACAUAAAGGUUUGAAACAUUUACAACGCCACCGACCGCUACACGGUGUGACAUAAUACAUUAUAUAUAAGACCAUAAAGGUCAAAUUUUUUUUUUCAAGCCGGCCUCUGAACCACAACGUUCAAGCUUAGGACCGCUCGGCGAAAAAAAAAAAACGCGAAAAGACGGGAAACGCAAGCGCCCGGCCGGGUUGUUACGCGGCGUCUACCGGACAGCUGGCUGGCUGGGUAGGGGCAGCGGACAGGAUGUUUUGGGAUCGGAGAGGGAGGAGCGGCGGAGGAAGUUGGCGGAGGAGAGUAGAGUGCCUUUGUUUGUCCCCUUUUGGUAGGUCUCUCGAAGUGGGUCGCGCGCUACCCCUUCUUCUUCCUCGCCAGUCACUUACACAGCCCGUUCGGGGCAGUGAGAGAGCUGCAGUUGGCGGGGUUACUGUUCUUCCCACGACCGCCGCCGCCGCCGCGGCCGCCCUCGGCCAGGCGCCGGUGCCACGCCGCCGAGUUCUACAUGUUUGAUUCCGGGUACUCCCUGGCGCCACCCUUCUAGCAGUUCGUGCUGGAGGUCAGGUUCCUCGAGGGGUUGUGGGCGUAGCUCGGACUGGCGGCCACCAAGCCUUUAUGUGCUCAAUAGUUAGUCUUUCUUGAACUUAUAAAAUCCGUUCUUGAGGUCCGUGCUGAAUGUUUAUUGAUGUCACACAAUGACUUUAGAUUUGUCGACGGUGAUAGCGAAGACGUCCUAGUAGUCUUCGUUCGAGCACGUGUAGAAGAACUGUGACUCGGAAAACUCGUACGGAAACCUGGUUUCCCGUUCGCAUUUGCCGGUUUUGAUAGGUCAGAACUAAUACUUAGAGAUUAUUUCUUUCGACUACUAAGAGUUCUACGCAAACUCCUUUUUGUACGAAGUAGUUUCAAUGGUUUCCUACUUCUCGUUCUACCGAAUUCCCUAGAUCAAUCCGUAUUAUACAAACUCUUCCCUGUUUCGUUUUCUUAAACCCCACUUGAAAUAUUUCAAGAACUGAGAAGUCUACAACAACACGUCCACAACCUACGGUCCCUAGGUUACCCGUGCUCUACGAUGGUAGACCUCUUUGUAGACUUCCUCUUACGGUUCGUGUUUGUGGACCAUAAGAAUGAUUUAUUCACACUAGAUUAUGGACGAACCCGUUGUUUUCCCACCAACGCAUGAGAUAGCUCCCUGAUAGGGUGGGAUCGUAAGGUACGUUCGUAGUUGUUCAGUAAACCUUUUCCUAGAGAAGAUAGUCAUAAUUCCGUCAAACGGGCAAACUCCUCACUGUUCGUUCGGUAUAGACAACCUAAACAACCUAUAGGGUUGCAACCCUUCAGGAGUCAAUAGUUAUGUAAUGCGAGGUUCUGACAAACGUUCCAUCGAGGCUAAGGACCUCUCUGAUUCCACACCGUUAUGUAGUGGUACUGAUUUUCUUAGAAGAAUUAACUAACGGGACCCCAACACAUGGUUUUGUUACUAUGUCUCUGACUACAUCAAGAAUUCCCACACCAUGCCCACUGUUUAAACCUACUACGAAGACUCGUGUAACCCCUUCAAGAUUNNNNNNNNNNNNNCCGACUACUAUUACUAAAAGAGCAGGUCGACUCGUUCUACUCACCUUUCGAUGAAUUCCCACCCCUUGGACUAGACUGUUGUCGUCGGUUCUACCAUGAAGUACUGACCGUCUCCCCGUUCUAUGGGAAAAAACACGGAGGCGGCGUCGUCUUACUUCUACCAGGAAGAUUCUAAUGACUUGGACACCUCCCUAGACCACUCCUUCACCAGUCGUCACUGGCCCGACGACGACGGUACUUUCGGUAACGCCCUUAAUAGAGAAGCGUCGUUUGAUACUUACAGGGGACGGUCUUCCUUGAACCGUCUUUACCGCUUCUGUCACUUGAGGGCCUCGUUAGUCUGGAAAACCAUUUUCUCACUUUCCCAUCGUUAGGACGUACUCUUCUAGGGACCAUAAAAACGGGCGUUUGUAGAAGUACUCACGGUCGCUUCAAUAAGUGACAAACGGUACUUCCUGUGUCAAUGCGUCCCCCCUGUUAGGAAACUAUACAUAGCAAGUACAAUAGACAUCGAAAGAUUACCUAAUCCAUCUCGCACCAACCGUAGAUGUAGUUUUGAACAGAAAACAAGUGGAGUUCAAGAUCAACCUAAAGUGUGGGACAAAAUAUGUAUCUAUUUAUGGUAAACCAAGUUUUACGUUGAAGACGUUCAUACGGAAAGAUUAAAAACAAAAGGUGAACUACAACUGUAUGCACCUAGACCCAAUGGGAAUGGAAUACUAUG
This 8165-nucleotide ribosomal RNA is filed under the name Triticum aestivum (bread wheat). RNAcentral's name for it is "partial small subunit ribosomal RNA". Lineage: Eukaryota; Viridiplantae; Streptophyta; Magnoliopsida; Poales; Poaceae. The record is from RNAcentral.